This 1376-nucleotide ribosomal RNA is filed under the name Lactiplantibacillus plantarum. RNAcentral's name for it is "bacterial SSU rRNA". It matches the Rfam family "Bacterial small subunit ribosomal RNA", at positions 69 to 1424 of the family's 1533-position model. The record is from RNAcentral. Lineage: Bacteria; Bacillati; Bacillota; Bacilli; Lactobacillales; Lactobacillaceae.
AUUGGUGCUUGCAUCAUGAUUUACAUUUGAGUGAGUGGCGAACUGGUGAGUAACACGUGGGAAACCUGCCCAGAAGCGGGGGAUAACACCUGGAAACAGAUGCUAAUACCGCAUAACAACUUGGACCGCAUGGUCCGAGCUUGAAAGAUGGCUUCGGCUAUCACUUUUGGAUGGUCCCGCGGCGUAUUAGCUAGAUGGUGGGGUAACGGCUCACCAUGGCAAUGAUACGUAGCCGACCUGAGAGGGUAAUCGGCCACAUUGGGACUGAGACACGGCCCAAACUCCUACGGGAGGCAGCAGUAGGGAAUCUUCCACAAUGGACGAAAGUCUGAUGGAGCAACGCCGCGUGAGUGAAGAAGGGUUUCGGCUCGUAAAACUCUGUUGUUAAAGAAGAACAUAUCUGAGAGUAACUGUUCAGGUAUUGACGGUAUUUAACCAGAAAGCCACGGCUAACUACGUGCCAGCAGCCGCGGUAAUACGUAGGUGGCAAGCGUUGUCCGGAUUUAUUGGGCGUAAAGCGAGCGCAGGCGGUUUUUUAAGUCUGAUGUGAAAGCCUUCGGCUCAACCGAAGAAGUGCAUCGGAAACUGGGAAACUUGAGUGCAGAAGAGGACAGUGGAACUCCAUGUGUAGCGGUGAAAUGCGUAGAUAUAUGGAAGAACACCAGUGGCGAAAGCGGCUGUCUGGUCUGUAACUGACGCUGAGGCUCGAAAGUAUGGGUAGCAAACAGGAUUAGAUACCCUGGUAGUCCAUACCGUAAACGAUGAAUGCUAAGUGUUGGAGGGUUUCCGCCCUUCAGUGCUGCAGCUAACGCAUUAAGCAUUCCGCCUGGGGAGUACGGCCGCAAGGCUGAAACUCAAAGGAAUUGACGGGGGCCCGCACAAGCGGUGGAGCAUGUGGUUUAAUUCGAAGCUACGCGAAGAACCUUACCAGGUCUUGACAUACUAUGCAAAUCUAAGAGAUUAGACGUUCCCUUCGGGGACAUGGAUACAGGUGGUGCAUGGUUGUCGUCAGCUCGUGUCGUGAGAUGUUGGGUUAAGUCCCGCAACGAGCGCAACCCUUAUUAUCAGUUGCCAGCAUUAAGUUGGGCACUCUGGUGAGACUGCCGGUGACAAACCGGAGGAAGGUGGGGAUGACGUCAAAUCAUCAUGCCCCUUAUGACCUGGGCUACACACGUGCUACAAUGGAUGGUACAACGAGUUGCGAACUCGCGAGAGUAAGCUAAUCUCUUAAAGCCAUUCUCAGUUCGGAUUGUAGGCUGCAACUCGCCUACAUGAAGUCGGAAUCGCUAGUAAUCGCGGAUCAGCAUGCCGCGGUGAAUACGUUCCCGGGCCUUGUACACACCGCCCGUCACACCAUGAGAGUUUGUAACACCCAA